UACGUAGGUCCCGAGUGUUGACCGGAUUUAUUGGGCGUAAAGCGAGCGCAGGUGGUUUAUUAAGUCUGGUGUAAAAGGCAGUGGCUCAACCAUUGUAUGCAUUGGAAACUGGUAGACUUGAGUGCAGGAGAGGAGAGUGGAAUUCCAUGUGUAGCGGUGAAAUGCGUAGAUAUAUGGAGGAACACCGGUGGCGAAAGCGGCUCUCUGGCCUGUAACUGACACUGAGGCUCGAAAGCGUGGGGAGCAAACAGG
This 252-nucleotide ribosomal RNA is filed under the name uncultured bacterium. RNAcentral describes it as "partial 16S ribosomal RNA". It matches the Rfam family "Bacterial small subunit ribosomal RNA", at positions 524 to 776 of the family's 1533-position model. The record is from RNAcentral.